RNAcentral lists this unclassified non-coding RNA (329 nucleotides) under soil metagenome. Its description in RNAcentral is "partial contains 5.8S ribosomal RNA, internal transcribed spacer 2, and large subunit ribosomal RNA". The stretch from base 1 to 120 matches the Rfam family "5.8S ribosomal RNA", at positions 35 to 154 of the family's 154-position model. The record is from RNAcentral.
GAUGAAGAACGUAGCGAAAUGCGAUAAGUAAUGUGAAUUGCAGAAUUCAGUGAAUCAUCGAAUCUUUGAACGCACAUUGCGCCCCCUGGUAUUCCGGGGGGCAUGCCUGUUCGAGCGUCAUUACAACCCUCAAGCUCUGCUUGGUGUUGGGCCCCGCCGCCCCGGCGGGCCCUAAAAUCAGUGGCGGUGCCGUCCGGCUCCGAGCGUAGUAAUUCUUCUCGCUCUGGAGGUCCGGGUGUGUGCUAGCCAGCAACCCCCAAUUUUUUUCAGGUUGACCUCGGAUCAGGUAGGGAUACCCGCUGAACUUAAGCAUAUCAAUAAGCGGAGGA